RNAcentral lists this ribosomal RNA (231 nucleotides) under uncultured bacterium. Its description in RNAcentral is "partial 16S ribosomal RNA". It matches the Rfam family "Bacterial small subunit ribosomal RNA", at positions 15 to 236 of the family's 1533-position model. The record is from RNAcentral.
GAUCCUGCUCAGGAUGAACGCUAGCCACAGGCUUAACACAUGCAAGUCGAGGGGAAACGAUAUUGGAAGCUUGCUUCCGAUAGGCGUCGACCGGCGCACGGGUGAGUAACGCGUAUCCAACCUGCCCACCACUUGGGGAUAACCUUGCGAAAGUAAGACUAAUACCCAAUGAUAUCUCUAGAGGACAUCUGAAAGAGAUUAAAGAUUUAUCGGUGAUGGAUGGGGAUGCGU